AGAGCGAACGCUGGCGGCAGGCCUAACACAUGCAAGUCGAGCGCCGUAGCAAUACGGAGCGGCAGACGGGUGAGUAACGCGUGGGAACAUACCUUUUGGUUCGGAACAACACAGGGAAACUUGUGCUAAUACCGGAUAAGCCCUUACGGGGAAAGAUUUAUCGCCGAAAGAUUGGCCCGCGUCUGAUUAGCUAGUUGGUGAGGUAACGGCCCACCAAGGCGACGACGGGUAGCC
This 234-nucleotide ribosomal RNA is filed under the name uncultured bacterium. RNAcentral's name for it is "partial small subunit ribosomal RNA". It matches the Rfam family "Bacterial small subunit ribosomal RNA", at positions 26 to 288 of the family's 1533-position model. The record is from RNAcentral.